AUUGGGACUGAGAUACGGCCCAGACUCCUACGGGAGGCAGCAGUAGGGAACUUUGCGCAAUGGACGAAAGUCUGACGCAGCAACUCCGCGUGAGGGAUGAAUGCCUUCGGGUUGUAAACCUCUGUUGAGUGGGAAGAAAAAUUUUAUUGCUAAUAUCAAUAAAACAUGACGGUACCAUUCGAAGAAGCUCCGGCUAACUACGUGCCAGCAGCCGCGGUAAUACGUAGGGAGCUAGCGUUGUUCGGAAUUACUGGGCGUAAAGGGAGUGUAGGCGGAAAAGUAAGUUAGAAGUGAAAUGUAUCGGCUCAACCGAUAACCUGCUUUUAAUACUGCUUUUCUUGAGUAUGGGAGAGGAAGAUGGAAUUCCAGGUGUAGCGGUGGAAUGCGUAGAUAUCUGGAAGAACACCAGUUGCGAAGGCGGUCUUCUGGCCCAAUACUGACGCUGAGGCUCGAAAGCUAGGGGAGCGAACAGGAUUAGAUACCCUGGUAGUCCUAGCCGUAAACGAUGGACACUAGAUGCUGGGAACGAUUAGUUUUCGGUGUCGAAGCUAACGCAUUAAGUGUCCCGCCUGGGGAGUACGCUCGCAAGUGUGAAACUCAAAGGAAUUGACGGGGGCCCGCACAAGCGGUGGAGCAUGUGCUUUAAUUCGAUGCAACGCGAAGAACCUUACCUGGUCUUGACAUGGGAGUGAAAGUCUUUAGAGAUAAAGACCUUCCCUUCGGGGACACUCUACACAGGUGCUGCAUGGUUGUCGUCAGCUCGUGUCGUGAGAUGUUGGGUUAAGUCCCGCAACGAGCGCAACCCCUGUCCUUAGUUGCCAUCAGGUCAAGCUGGGAACUCUAAGGAGACUGCCUGGAUUAACCAGGAGGAAGGUGGGGAUGACGUCAAAUCCUCAUGGCCCUUACGACCAGGGCUAGACACGUGCUACAAUGGGUGGUACAACGGGAUGCUAGAUCGCGAGGUUAAGCUAAUCCCUUAAAACCAUUCUCAGUUCGGAUUGGAGUCUGCAAUUCGACUCCAUGAAGUUGGAAUCGCUAGUAAUCGCGGAUCAGCAUGCCGCGGUGAAUACGUUCCCGGGCCUUGUACACACCGCCCGUCAAGCCAUGAAAGAUGAUAGUACCCAAAGUCGUUAUCCUAACCUUUUUGGAGGGAAGCGCCUAAGGUAAGAUCAUUAAUUGGGGCUAAGUCGAAACAAGGUA
RNAcentral lists this ribosomal RNA (1200 nucleotides) under metagenome. RNAcentral describes it as "bacterial SSU rRNA". It matches the Rfam family "Bacterial small subunit ribosomal RNA", at positions 312 to 1498 of the family's 1533-position model. The record is from RNAcentral.